This 72-nucleotide transfer RNA is filed under the name Bos taurus (domestic cattle). It matches the Rfam family "tRNA". Rfam says of the family: Transfer RNA (tRNA) molecules are approximately 80 nucleotides in length. Lineage: Eukaryota; Metazoa; Chordata; Mammalia; Artiodactyla; Bovidae. The record is from Rfam by way of RNAcentral. RNAcentral also lists the same sequence under 1 other name.
UCCCUGGUGGUCCAGUGGCUAGGACUUGGCACUUUCACUGCUGCAGCCCAGGUUCAAUGCCUGGUCAAGGAA